GAUGAAGAACGCAGCGAAAUGCGAUAAGUAAUGUGAAUUGCAGAAUUCAGCGAAUCAUCGAAUCUUUGAACGCACAUUGCGCCCGCCAGUAUUCUGGCGGGCAUGCCUGUUCGAGCGUCAUUUCAACCAUCAAGCCCCAGGCUUGUGUUGGGGACCUGCGGCUGCCGCAGGCCCUGAAAACCAGUGGCGGGCUCGCUGUCACACCGUGCGUAGUAGAUUUUAUCUCGCUCAGGGCGUGCUGCGGGUUCCGGCCGUUAAAAAGCCUUUUUUACCCAAGGUUGACCUCGGAUCAGGUAGGAAGACCCGCUGAACUUAAGCAUAUCAAUAAGCGGAGGA
Molecule: unclassified non-coding RNA, 336 nt
Filed under: soil metagenome
Description: partial contains 5.8S ribosomal RNA, internal transcribed spacer 2, and large subunit ribosomal RNA
Rfam family: 5.8S ribosomal RNA (bases 1-120)
Source: RNAcentral